This 85-nucleotide transfer RNA is filed under the name Opitutaceae bacterium. RNAcentral's name for it is "tRNA-Leu". It matches the Rfam family "tRNA". Rfam says of the family: Transfer RNA (tRNA) molecules are approximately 80 nucleotides in length. The record is from RNAcentral. Lineage: Bacteria; Pseudomonadati; Verrucomicrobiota; Opitutia; Opitutales; Opitutaceae. RNAcentral also lists the same sequence under 2 other names.
GCCCAGGUGGUGGAAUUGGUAGACACGCUAGAUUUAGGCUCUAGUGCCGAGAGGUGUGCGAGUUCGACUCUCGCCCUGGGCACCA